CAUAUUUGCUGUAGGCUUAAAACAGGCCUUAAAUUUAGGUGGGAUAUUUUAUAAUUGUCGAUGGUAUUUCAAUUUGCAGUGGCUUAUAAUGAGCUCUACUUUGCUUUUUUGCGACAAAAAAAGAAUAGUCUACUUUUAUAGAACUUUCAUCUCAAUACAGAUUAUGAAGUUGUGAUAAAUUAAAUAGCCUACUGCAGAAAUGUUUAUAUUGCUUAAUAUGGACAUAUCCUUUGGCAAAGAGAUGGAUGCAUUCUGGGAAGUGAUGUGUUUAAAUGUAAUGGCUACAUAUACCCGUGUUUCCUUCACUUAGACAUUUAUGCUGAUCCCUUUAAAAUUUUUGAGCAAGGAUAUAAAAUAUUAAGACUGUACUUUUUUUCAUUAUGAUUGAUAUUUUUGGCGCAAUUUUGUGCAACACGUCACUGUGUGCGACCAUCGCAGAAACCAUUGCCCAGCGCGAUUCCACCACGGUUCCUUAAUCCCUGUCCCUUUAAAAAAAACAGCACCUCAUUACAUAAAAAAAGGCACUUUUUAAGAGCCACAUUUGUUUUUGUUUAUUGUCUUAUUUGUAUUGUUUAUUGUCUUGUUAUCUCAGUCUCUCUCUCUCUCUCUCUCUCACUCUCUCUCCAUCCCUCUCCCCUCUCUCUCUCUCUCUCUCUCUCUCUCUCACUCUCUUUCCAUCCCUCUCUCCCUCUCUCUCUCCCCUACCAUCUGAGUGGUGGUUGCUUUUUAGAGGGACGGAGGACCUGGGUUGCUGCCUCUUCUUCACUCAUUGUAAUUAACUGAAAGUGUAAAGGUCGGGAUCAAAGAAUAUAGAUUCAUUUGUUGGUGUUGUUUUUAAGCGCACAAUAUACCAAUUUAAUGGAUAGAGACUGGCAUAUAAUACCUGGUUAUUGCACCAAAUGAAAUUUGCAGGAGUCUGCACAAUAUAGGCCAACCUAUAAGAUAAGAUUGCUGUUGGCAUGAAGUCUAAGUAAAUCAAACUUAAGUUUUGUGAGGAAUGCCAGUAUUCAAAGAUGGUUUAUGACUACAGGAAAGCAAACAGCUCGCUUGGCGACUUUAUGUUUCAGGAUUUUUCUGCACUUAAAUAAUUUGCCAGCUUGCAAACAUCCAGAUCUAGUAUUACCUUUGAUAAUGUUAGAAAAGUGAUACGUUAAGCAUAACCUGCUGCUGUAUGACACAUGCUAAAAGAUUGACUAGCUCUGUCUUUCUUGUACUUAUGUGUGUUCGGAUCCCUGUAUGAUAUUUAAUAUUUAUAUUUUUUGUAUGUGUGUACACUUCAGAAUGACAAAGCCAAAAUUCAGGCCUUGCCCAAGCUGCCAAGUCCGUCAGCAGGCCAACCGCAAAACAUGCAGUGCUUGUUUUUGCCACACUGCCAAGCAAGCGGUUAUUAAAAACUGCAAAAAUUAAUGAUGACUGGGGCCAGAGGGUCGUCAAAAACAAAAAUGCAUCUCGGGUGGUGGCCUCUGCCCAAAUAGCUGUAAGUAAAAAUGCUCAUGCUUCAUUAAUUGAGUGGUAAUCAAUAUUAAGCCCAAAGAACAUACAGUAUUUGGUACCAUGUUUGUUGAUGGACAUAGCAGCCAUGCUGUGUGCUGUGUACCAGGCUUCACAUGCGUGCCUGGAUGUUGGAAGUUGGCACAUCUUGUCAGUAUGAAAUUUUAGACAGACAAUCGCUUUAAAAACCACACCAUACAUCCCUAUUAAAUUGCUUUUGCAGCACACAUGACGCUCAAGUAAUAAAUGUACAUCACAUGCAAGUUGCUCUGAUAAACAGUUUGCCAAAAAAAGCUCCCCAUACACAAUAUGUAAAUAUUUUCAAUAUUUUCAUUCUAUGCAGGUGUACUUCUGUUGUGAAAAAAAAUCUUGAAUAUGCAUUGGUGUAUGUACAUAAGUAGGCAAUAUUCUAGACUACACUUAUCUUAAAAUACUUGUGUAACUGAUGGCAGGGACUAGGGAUAGGGAUGAACUAUGAAUCAAGUAGUACCUAGUUUAUACACCAAGUAAACUGCCCUCUGUUUCUGAUUCAAAGUCAGUGUAGAGUAGACGCCAUCUUCAUUAAUGUCACAACAUCUGAUUAAUUAUUUUCAAACAAAAUUGAGUACAGACAGUUGCAAUUUAAGAAAUACUCAUGAAUCAAUAUUUCUGUGUAUUAAUUUUACAAUAUGUCUUUAAUCAUCACAUACUUA
Cyprinus carpio carpio is the source of this 2183-nucleotide long non-coding RNA. Lineage: Eukaryota; Metazoa; Chordata; Actinopteri; Cypriniformes; Cyprinidae. The record is from Ensembl.